UUAUUUGUUCCGAAGGAGAGAGUAGGACUUGGAUUCAGAGAUUUACUUAGCUUUAAUUUAGCAAUGUUGGCUAAGAAAGUAUGACACCUCCUCGAGAACCUUGAUUCAUUAUGUGCAAAACUUUUGUGGGCCAAUUACUAUCCGUAUGCGAGGCUUUUGGAAGCCCUAAUGAAGAAUGGCAGUUCAUAUACUUGGCAAAGUAUCUGUGCUGGAAUCCAAACCUUUAAGAGAGGUGCAAUAUAG
Molecule: ribosomal RNA, 243 nt
Filed under: Triticum aestivum (bread wheat)
Lineage: Eukaryota; Viridiplantae; Streptophyta; Magnoliopsida; Poales; Poaceae
Description: partial small subunit ribosomal RNA
Source: RNAcentral